UUGCAAUAUAUUAGUGUUUUUUCAAUGUAUUCUGACAAUGGAAAAGUUCCUAACCGCGUGUCUGCAUUACACCUAUGAACCAGACUGUCCGUAUUGCAAACCCUAUAUUAAGACUGUGCUUUCACUGUUUAUGUAUACACCCCUAGACAACCGUGCUAUACAUGCACAAUAAAUCUUCAAAAGCUUAUUAAUAUUAUAUCUGUGUGGUACACAAAGAGGUGUACACAAAGAGGGGGUGUGAGUUAGGUCAUCUCGACCUUCAUAUGGAAUAUGCUUCCUCCUUGUUCACUUUUGGUUAAACUGUUGGUCUGUGACUGGCCCUCUUUGACCCCAACUGAAUUUCUUGGGAAGAUUCAUGAGAAAGAUACAGCAGGUUGUUUUGAUAUAAAGAAAGAGGGAAAAGUAUGUUGUAUCGGUCACAAAAUGAUUGUGAUCUUAAGCAGGCGAGAUAAGGACAUUUUGGAGGGGAUAGGAGAUUGAAUCAGAAAAGUUUUAGAGGCAGAGGUAGAGAAUUUGAUCAAAGGAUCUAACUUUUGUAGAGGUGGUAACUUCAGCACUGUUUUAAUUGUGGAUAGCAGGGAUUCACCCAAAGGUGCUUGUGGUGAACCCGGUUCUCCUAGUCAAGCUGGCCCCACUGGUAUUGCCAGUGUCCCUGGCUUCCCUGGUGCCUGUGGUGCUCCUGGACCUAAGG
Pelobates cultripes (western spadefoot toad) is the source of this 691-nucleotide non-coding RNA. The record is from the annotation of a GenBank genome assembly. Lineage: Eukaryota; Metazoa; Chordata; Amphibia; Anura; Pelobatidae.